This 482-nucleotide ribosomal RNA is filed under the name uncultured bacterium. RNAcentral describes it as "partial 16S ribosomal RNA". It matches the Rfam family "Bacterial small subunit ribosomal RNA", at positions 28 to 523 of the family's 1533-position model. The record is from RNAcentral.
GACGAACGCUGGCGGCGCGCCUAACACAUGCAAGUCGAACGAGCGAGAGAGAGCUUGCUUUCUCGAGCGAGUGGCGAACGGAUGAGUAACGCGUGAGGAACCUGCCUCAAAGAGGGGGACAACAGUUGGAAACGACUGCUAAUACCGCAUAAGCCCACGGGUCGGCAUCGACCAGAGGGAAAAGGAGCAAUCCGCUUUGAGAUGGCCUCGCGUCCGAUUAGCUAGUUGGUGAGGUAACGGCCCACCAAGGCGACGAUCGGUAGCCGGACCGAGAGGUUGAACGGCCACAUUGGGACUGAGACACGGCCCAGACUCCUACGGGAGGCAGCAGUGGGGAAUAUUGCACAAUGGGGGAAACCCUGAUGCAGCGACGCCGCGUGGAGGAAGAAGGUCUUCGGAUUGUAAACUCCUGUUGUUGAGGAAGAUAAUGACGGUACUCAACAAGGAAGUGACGGCUAACUACGUGCCAGCCGCCGCGGUAA